UACGGAGGGUGCAAGCGUUGUCCGGAUUUAUUGGGUUUAAAGGGUGCGUAGGCGGUUCUUUAAGUCUGGGGUGAAAGCCCGUUGCUCAACAACGGAACUGCCCUGGAAACUGGCGAACUUGAGUACAGACGAGGGUGGCGGAAUGGAUGGUGUAGCGGUGAAAUGCAUAGAUAUCAGGAGGAACACCGGUGGUGUAGACGGCUCUCUGGACCGUAACUGACGCUGAGACACGAAAGCGUGGGUAGCAAACAGG
RNAcentral lists this ribosomal RNA (253 nucleotides) under uncultured bacterium. RNAcentral describes it as "partial 16S ribosomal RNA". It matches the Rfam family "Bacterial small subunit ribosomal RNA", at positions 524 to 776 of the family's 1533-position model. The record is from RNAcentral.